Molecule: long non-coding RNA, 762 nt
Organism: Triticum urartu
Lineage: Eukaryota; Viridiplantae; Streptophyta; Magnoliopsida; Poales; Poaceae
Source: RefSeq, a predicted model, not a curated record
AGAAAAGCAGUAAUAUAAAAGUAAAAUGGCAAGACCUCACUAUCCAAUUGGCCCACUUGCUAUAGCCCAGCCCACCAGUGCCUCAUCCCUAACAUCCUGUUCAUCCCACGGGGCAGCCAUCCGAAGCCCCAUGGCAGCUAUAAGGGCCUCCCCGUCGUCAUUGACUAACCCUAGCCCAUCUUCUCCCUCGCCCCCUCGCGUAGCUCUCACCGCCGCACCACCCGAAUGUUGUCGUCGCCGCGCCAUUGUCGUCUUCGUGGCCAUCGGUCUCCUUGGCGACUGGGAGGACAUCCAGAAGCUCUGGCGACAUCGACUACACCACCUGCAAUACCAGGGCGGAGCCGGGGACCAUUGCUGACGUUGCCUCGACUGAUCCCCUCCGCCGGCGUCCGCCUCGGCCUCGCCUUCGAUCCGCCGCCUCCAGCCCCCCCUGACGUGUCUGAGCACGCCACCAGCUCCGGGAUGACGGAUCCUAGGAGCCGGGCGAUACCACUGACGACUACUACUACCCCAAGGGUGCCUACUACUACGUGAUGGCCGCUGGCGACUUGGAGUAGUUAGGAGGCUCCCAGGCAGGAGGUCUUGCCUUUUCGACCGUUGUUGCUUUUGUGUUAGCAUUCUUAAGGCAGAAUUGUUUAACUUGUGUCUGUACUCAGAUAUUGUUGCUUCCGCCGACUCUUGUGUAUUCGAGCCCUUGAGGCCCCUGGCUUGUAAUAUAAAGCUUGUAUUAUUUUAAUUUGUGUCUAGAGUCAUGUUGUGAUA